This 171-nucleotide non-coding RNA is filed under the name Larimichthys crocea (large yellow croaker). RNAcentral's name for it is "Eukaryotic large subunit ribosomal RNA". It matches the Rfam family "Eukaryotic large subunit ribosomal RNA", at positions 813 to 954 of the family's 3401-position model. Lineage: Eukaryota; Metazoa; Chordata; Actinopteri; Sciaenidae. The record is from Rfam by way of RNAcentral.
GAUCUGAAAGAUGCUGAACUAUGCCUGGGCAGGGUGAAGCCUUUUCAGGAAUGCUACGAGCCUCCAACAGGGUUUCCAACAACGCUGUUGGAGGCUCGUAGCAGUCCUGACAUGCAAGUCGGUCUUCCAACCUGGGUAUAGGGCCAAAGAACUAAUCAGUCUAGUAGCUGG